This 482-nucleotide ribosomal RNA is filed under the name uncultured bacterium. RNAcentral's name for it is "partial 16S ribosomal RNA". It matches the Rfam family "Bacterial small subunit ribosomal RNA", at positions 28 to 507 of the family's 1533-position model. The record is from RNAcentral.
GACGAACGCUGGCGGCGUGCUUAACACAUGCAAGUCGAACGCUGAAGCUCAGCUUGCUGGGUGGAUGAGUGGCGAACGGGUGAGUAACACGUGAGUAACCUGCCCUCUUCUUUGGGAUAACGCCCGGAAACGGGUGCUAAUACUGGAUAUUCACUGAUUCUCGCAUGGGGGUUGGUGGAAAGGUUUUUUCUGGUGGGGGAUGGGCUCGCGGCCUAUCAGCUUGUUGGUGGGGUGAUGGCCUACCAAGGCUUUGACGGGUAGCCGGGCUGAGAGGGUGACCGGGCACAUUGGGAAUGGGAUACGGCCCAGACUCCUACGGGAGGCAGCAGUGGGGAAUAUUGCACAAUGGGCGAAAGCCUGAUGCAGCGACGCCGCGUGAGGGAUGGAGGCCUUCGGGUUGUAAACCUCUUUCGCUCAUGGUCAAGCCGCAGCUUUGGGUUGUGGUGAGGGUAGUGGGUAAAGAAGCGCCGGCUAACUACGUG